AACUGUUUCGGUUAACAUGCUGGUGGUGUAACACGUGGAAAGGCAUGAGCUUUCGGUGGGAUUUUACACAUGGACACACAGGAGCUCCAGGAAAUCAUUUAUCCUUUCCUGAUGACCCUCCACCCAACAUUGGGCACUUCAUUAUCCAGCCCAUAGCUGGCACUCACAGUGAAAGCUACAUGUUUGAACUAAGAUGGCAGCAGGGGAGGAGGAAGAACCAGGUGUGGAAAUCUGAGGGCACAGUGUCUUAGGCGUGGUGACAACAUGUGCAAAGGCCCUGAGGUGGGACGGAGCCUGGCAUCCUGGAGGAACAAAAAGGCCUGUGUGGCUGGAGCUGUGAAAGUGAUGGGGAGGGGAGGGGCAGGGCUGGAGAAGUAGGCAGGGAGAGCAGGCAUCCAUCCCUGAAAGGAUGGUUGUUCUCCAUGUAUGUGAAUGUGUGUGUGCAUGUGCAAGAACAUGUAUGUGCUUGCUUAUGUGCAAGUACACAGCGUAACAGAUGAAAGCUGGUCUGUAAAGUGGACAAUGACAGUCAGCAUGUGCACAGUACCAAGUGCUGUCUCAUUAGGAAAAGUGCACCCGGGACAUGAAGAGACACAGCCAGGCUGGUAGGUGGCAGAACCAGGACUGAAGCCUGGGAGCUGCUCCUGCAUCUGCAUUUCCCACCCCUAGGCCAGUGGCCCCUAAACUGCAGCCUGCAUCCGCCUCGCCUGGGGAGACCCACGUGGAGCUCCAGUAAUGGGCAGGGCUGGGGAUGCACACACCUCUAAAGACCAGGAGAAGCUCCAGCUGCCACCAGCUGCCCUUGGAGAGGUGCCGCUCUCCGUGCUCCCGCUCCCACCACUGCCGUGGGAAAGCUACCGACUCGUCCUGGUCUUUGCUGUUUGCUUUGAAGACGCCGUUGGGUGUGUGCGAGCAGCACGUGGGACACUCAGUGAGGACCAGGGCCACAGGCUUGGGGUGGCCCCACCCUGGGCUCAGCGCUCCCACUGGGUUCCUGGCCUCUUGGGCUGGGGGAGGAGAGCCCGGGGAUGAUGGAGGCUCCCUGGGGGGGAAGUUACCGGUCCCCUAGGAGCGUGGCAGCACUUUUUCAUCAAAGAGUGCGGCUCUGGCUUGACACGUUCAUAUACUGGCUUGGAUUUCAAGCUAGCUUUCUAAGUUCCAGGCGCGUACUGCUGGAGGAUUUGUAUCUACUCCCUCGAUCUCCAUGGCAGGUCCCAGUCACCCAGGAGCCUCCGGGGCCUCUGUCGCUCUUGCCCUGUCUUGCCAGUGACAGCCCAGUGAUAUCAGGACUGGGUGAGGGCAGAGCUCCCCGGGCACCACCUGGCUCUUCACCUACAGCAUGCCACAGAGU
This is a long non-coding RNA of Fukomys damarensis (Damara mole-rat), 1351 nucleotides long. RefSeq lists it as uncharacterized. The record is from RefSeq and is a predicted model, not a curated record. NCBI's taxonomy places the organism in Eukaryota, Metazoa, Chordata, Mammalia, Rodentia, Bathyergidae. The transcript is spliced from 3 exons.